AAGAACACGUACCAUACAAUCCCACUUAUGUGAGGUCCCUAGAGUAGUCACUUUCAUAGAGAUAGUAGCUGACAGGAGGAGCAUGGGGAGUGACUGUUUAAUGAAUACAGACUUGAAAUUUGGGAAGAGGUAAAAGUUCUGGAGAUGGAUGGUGGUGAUGGGUGGUGAUGAUGGACAUUGGAGAUGGGCAAUGGACAUGGAUGGUGGUGAUGGAUGGUAUAAAUGGAUAUUGGAUGUGGACAGCGGACGUGGACAGUGGAGAUAGAGGGUGGUGAUGGCUGGUGGACAUGGACAGUGAAGAUAGAGAGUAGUGAUGGAUGGUGGAGAUAGAGGGCGGUGAUGGACAGUGGAGAUAGAGGGUGGUGAUGGACAGUGGAGAUAGAGGGUGGUGAUGGACAGUGGACAUGGACAGUGGAGAUAGAGGGUGGUGAUGGACAGUGGAGAUAGAGGGUGGUGAUGGACAGUGGACAUGGAUAGUGGAGACAGAGGGUAGUGAUGGACAGUGGAGAUAGAGGGUGGUGAUGGACAGUGGACAUGGACAGUGGAGAUAAAGGGUGGUGAUGGACAGUGGAGAUAGAGGGUGGUGAUGGACAGUGGAGAUAGAGGGUGGUGAUGGACAGUGGAGAUAGAGGGUGGUGAUGAACAGUGGAGAUAGAGGGUAGUGAUGGACAGUGGACAUGGACAGUGGAGAUAGAGGGUGGUGAUGGAUGGUGGACAUGGACAGUGGAGAUAGAGGGUGGUGAUAGACGGUGGACAUGGACAGUGGACAUGGACGGUGGGGACAGAGGGUGGUGAUGGACGGUGGACACAGACGGUGGAGAUAGAGGGUGGUGAUGGACGGUGGACACGGACAGUGGAGAUAGAGGGUGGUGAUGGACAGUGGAGAUAGAGGGUGGUGAUGGUCAGUGGAGAUAGAGGGUGGUGAUGGACGGUGGAGAUAGAGGGUGGUGAUGGACAGUGGACAUGGACAGUGGAGACAGAGGGGGUGAUGGACAAUGGACAUGGACAGUGGAGAUACAGGGUGGUGAUGGACGGUGGACAUGGACAGUGGAGACCGGGGGUGAUGAACAGUGGACAUGGACAGUGGAGAUAGAGGGUGGUGAUGGACGGUGGACAUGGACAGUGGAGAUAGAGGGUGGUGAUGGAUGGUGGACAUGGACAGUGGAGACAGAGGGUGGUGAUGGACGGUGGAGAUAGAGGGUAGUGAUGGACGGUGGACAUGGACAGUGGAGACGGAGGGUAGUGAUGGAUGGUGGACAUGGACAGUGGAGACAGAGGGUAGUGACGGACGGUGGACAUGGACAGUGGAGACAGAGGGUAGUGAUGGAUGGUGGACAUGGACAGUGGAGAUAGAGAGUGGUGAUGGACAGUGGAGAUAGAAGGUGGUGAUGGACAGUGGAGAUAGAAGGUGGUGAUGGACAGUGGACAUGGACGCUGGAGAUAGAGGGUGGUGAUGGACAGUGGAGAUAGAGGGUGGUGAUGGAUGGUGGACAUGGACAGUGGAGAUAGAGGGUGGUGAUGGAUGGUGGACAUGGAUAGUGGAGUUGAAGGGUGGAGAUGGAGGGUGGUGAUGGAUGGCGGUGAUGGAGGGUGGAGAUGGAGGGUGGUGAUGGAGGGUGGAGGGUAGUGAUGGACAGUGGAGAUGGAGGGUGGAGAUGGUGGGUGGUGAAGGAGGUUGGUGAUGGAGGGUGGUGAUGGGGGCGGAAAUGGAGGGUGGAGAUGCAGGGUGGAAAUGGAGGGUGGUGAUGGACAGCGGAGAUGAAUGGUAGUGAUGGAUGGUGGAGAUGGAGCAUGGAAAUGGUGGGUGGUGAUGGAGGAUGGAGAUGGAGGGUGGUGAUGGAGAGUGGUGAUGGAUGGUGGAGAUGAAUGGUGGUGAUGGACGAUGGAGAUGGAGGAUGGAGAUGGAGGGUGGAUGAAGGGUGGAGAUGGAAGAUAGUGAUGGAGGGUGGUGAUGGAUGGUGGUGAUGGAGGAUGGAGAUGGAGGGUGGAUGGAGGGUGGAGAUGGUGAGUGGUGAUGGAGGGUGGAGAUAAAUGGUGGUAAUGGACAGUGGAGAUGGACAGUCGAAAUGGAGAGUGGUGAUGGAUGGUAGUGAUGGAUGGUGGAGAUGGACAGCGGAGAUGAAUGGUGGUGAUGGAUGGUGGAGAUGGAGCGUGGAAAUGGUGGGUGGUGAUGGAGGAUGGAGAUGGAGGGUGGAGAUGGAGGGUGGUGAUGGAGGGUGGAGAUGAAUGGUGGUGAUGGAUGGUGGAGAUGGAGGAUGGAGAUGGAGGGUGGAUGAAGGGUGGAGAUGGAAGGUGGUGAUGGAGGGUGGUGAUGGAUGGUGGAGAUGAAUGGUGGCGAUGGACGGUGGAGAUGGAGGAUGGAGAUGGAAGGUGGUGAUGGAGGGUGGAGAUGCAGGGUGGAAAUGGAGGGUGGUGAUGGAUAGCAGAGAUGAAUGGUUGUGAUGGAUGGUGGAGAUGGAGGGUGGAAAUGGUGGGUGGUGAUGGAGGAUGGAGAUGGAGGGUGGAUGAAGGGUGGAGAUGAAUGGUGGUGAUGGACGGUGGAGAUGGAGGGUGGACGAAGGGUGGAGAUGGAAGGUGGUGAUGGAGGGUGGAGAU
Molecule: long non-coding RNA, 2595 nt
Filed under: Homo sapiens (human)
Lineage: Eukaryota; Metazoa; Chordata; Mammalia; Primates; Hominidae
Description: non-protein coding lnc-AKT1-1:4
Source: RNAcentral